Molecule: ribosomal RNA, 253 nt
Filed under: uncultured bacterium
Lineage: Bacteria
Description: partial 16S ribosomal RNA
Rfam family: Bacterial small subunit ribosomal RNA
Source: RNAcentral
UACGUAGGGUGCAAGCGUUAAUCGGAAUUACUGGGCGUAAAGCGUGCGCAGGCGGUUAUGUAAGACAGUUGUGAAAUCCCCGGGCUCAACCUGGGAAUUGCAUCUGUGACUGCAUCGCUAGAGUACGGUAGAGGGGGAUGGAAUUCCGCGUGUAGCAGUGAAAUGCGUAGAUAUGCGGAGGAACACCGAUGGCGAAGGCAAUCCCCUGGACCUGUACUGACGCUCAUGCACGAAAGCGUGGGGAGCAAACAGG